UCAAACUUGGUCAUUUAGAGGAAGUAAAAGUCGUAACAAGGUUUCCGUAGGUGAACCUGCGGAAGGAUCAUUAUCGAAUAAACUAGGUAGAUGCUGUUGCUGUCCCUCUCGGGGGAAACUUGUGCACGCUUCUGCCUUUUUUGUUUAUCCACCUGUGCACACACUGUAGGUCUGGGGAAGUCUGGUAAGGGAGGUAACUCUCUGAACGGCUUCAUUCAUUCCCAGGUCCUAUGUAUUUUUACAUAUACACUAUAGAAAGUAACAGAACGAAUCAAUGGGCAUUAGCCUAUAAACUAUAUACAACUUUCAGCAACGGAUCUCUUGGCUCUCGCAUCGAUGAAGAACGCAGC
RNAcentral lists this unclassified non-coding RNA (350 nucleotides) under uncultured fungus. RNAcentral describes it as "partial contains small subunit ribosomal RNA, internal transcribed spacer 1, and 5.8S ribosomal RNA". The stretch from base 1 to 73 matches the Rfam family "Eukaryotic small subunit ribosomal RNA", at positions 1759 to 1831 of the family's 1831-position model. The record is from RNAcentral. Lineage: Eukaryota; Fungi.